GAUGAAGAACGUAGCGAAAUGCGAUAAGUAAUGUGAAUUGCAGAAUUCAGUGAAUCAUCGAAUCUUUGAACGCACCUUGCGCCCUUUGGCUAUUCCGAAGGGCAUGCCUGUUUGAGUAUCGUGAACACCUCAACUCUCAUGGUUUGCCAUGAUGAGCUUGGACUUUGGGGGUUUUGCUGGCCUUUGGUCGGCUCCUCUCAAACGGAUCAGCUUUCCAGUGUUUGGUGGCGUCACGGGUGUGAUAACUAUCUACGCCUGUGGUUUUCUGCCAGAUAACCUUCAGCGAUGGAGGUUCGCUGGGGCUCAUAAAUGUCUCUCUUCAGUGGAGACAGCUUUUUGGACGUUUGAUCUCAAAUCAGGUAGGACUACCCGCUGAACUUAAGCAUAUAAAUAAGCGGAGGA
This 402-nucleotide unclassified non-coding RNA is filed under the name soil metagenome. RNAcentral describes it as "partial contains 5.8S ribosomal RNA, internal transcribed spacer 2, and large subunit ribosomal RNA". The stretch from base 1 to 121 matches the Rfam family "5.8S ribosomal RNA", at positions 35 to 154 of the family's 154-position model. The record is from RNAcentral.